Molecule: ribosomal RNA, 493 nt
Filed under: uncultured soil bacterium
Lineage: Bacteria
Description: bacterial SSU rRNA
Rfam family: Bacterial small subunit ribosomal RNA
Source: RNAcentral
AGAUUGAACGCUGGCGGCAGGCCUAACACAUGCAAGUCGAGCGGUAGAGAGGUGCUUGCACCUCUUGAGAGCGGCGGACGGGUGAGUAAUGCCUAGGAAUCUGCCUAGUGGUGGGGGAUAACGUUCGGAAACGGACGCUAAUACCGCAUACGUCCUACGGGAGAAAGCGGGGGACCUUCGGGCCUCGCGCCAUUAGAUGAGCCUAGGUCGGAUUAGCUAGUUGGUGAGGUAAUGGCUCACCAAGGCGACGAUCCGUAACUGGUCUGAGAGGAUGAUCAGUCACACUGGAACUGAGACACGGUCCAGACUCCUACGGGAGGCAGCAGUGGGAAUAUUGGACAAUGGGCGAAAGCCUGAUCCAGCCAUGCCGCGUGUGUGAAGAAGGUCUUCGGAUUGUAAAGCACUUUAAGUUGGAGGAAGGUUGUAACUUAAUACGUUGCAACUUUGACGUUACCGACAGAAUAAGCACCGGCUAACUUCGCGCCAGCAGCCG